GGCUCCGUGGUCAAGCGGUUAAGACAUCGCCCUUUCACGGCGGUAACACGAGUUCGAUUCUCGUCGGAGUCACUA
This 75-nucleotide transfer RNA is filed under the name Lachnospiraceae bacterium YSD2013. RNAcentral describes it as "tRNA_Glu_TTC". It matches the Rfam family "tRNA". From Rfam's summary of the family: Transfer RNA (tRNA) molecules are approximately 80 nucleotides in length. The record is from RNAcentral. Lineage: Bacteria; Bacillati; Bacillota; Clostridia; Lachnospirales; Lachnospiraceae.